UGGUGACAGUGAUGAGAAAUUUGAUAAGUAAGCAUAAAUUUUUAUUACGAAAUCAAGGCAGUAAUCUGUUACCA
Small nucleolar RNA from Neodiprion virginianus, 74 nucleotides. RefSeq annotates it as small nucleolar RNA SNORD127. The record is from RefSeq and is a predicted model, not a curated record. Lineage: Eukaryota; Metazoa; Arthropoda; Insecta; Hymenoptera; Diprionidae. The transcript has a single exon.